AGCGAACGCUGGCGGCAGGCUUAACACAUGCAAGUCGAGCGGGCAUCUUCGGAUGUCAGCGGCAGACGGGUGAGUAACACGUGGGAACGUACCCUUCGGUUCGGAACAACUCUGGGAAACUGGAGCUAAUACCGGAUACGCCCUUAUGGGGAAAGGUUUACUGCCAAAGGAUCGGCCCGCGUCUGAUUAGCUAGUUGGUGGGGUAACGGCCUACCAAGGCGACGAUCAGUAGCUGGUCUGAGAGGAUGAUCAGCCACACUGGGACUGAGACACGGCCCAGACUCCUACGGGAGGCAGCAGUGGGGAAUAUUGGACAAUGGGCGCAAGCCUGAUCCAGCCAUGCCGCGUGAGUGAUGAAGGCCUUAGGGUUGUAAAGCUCUUUUGUCCGGGACGAUAAUGACGGUACCGGAAGAAUAAGCCCCGGCUAACUUCGUG
This 435-nucleotide ribosomal RNA is filed under the name uncultured bacterium. RNAcentral describes it as "partial 16S ribosomal RNA". It matches the Rfam family "Bacterial small subunit ribosomal RNA", at positions 29 to 507 of the family's 1533-position model. The record is from RNAcentral.